UGCGGCGGGGGAGCCCCGGCCCGCCUCGUCCGGUCCCUGGGCGUCUUUGUCUUUCUUCCGAAAACACAAAGCCAAACAUUUCCGUAGCUGCCCGCUGCCCCGUUUAAGAGAAAUAAACGUGUGGUAAUGCACACCGCAGCCUUUCGCCGGCUCUCAGGACGCUGUACUCAAUGCUGAGGCAGCCGGUCCUAACCGCAAGUGUGCAAGCACAGGCAGCCUUUCCUGCCCUCAUCGCUCAAUGCCUUACCAGUGACCGCUGCCAUCCAGAGGCUGCAUAAUUUUCCAAAUUAAUAGACUGUGUGACAGCCAGAUGCACCUCCAACUGCUCAAACUGAUUUAAGGGGGCAGGGGCCAUUGCUGAGGCAUGGCGGUGCAGGUUUGAUGCAGAAAUAAGAUCCACAGCGCUUGCUGGGCCUCAUUCUGCACGGUGGCCUGUCCGACAGUUCUCACCCCAGCUGGCUUUAAAUGACUGAGCCGGUUUUAACUAAACUUGACAGAAGGAUGGGGGUUUCAAAGAUGCUAGUAGUUCCAGCUGUGUAAAAAUUACUAGCUAGGUGCAGGGAAGGUUGUCCCCAAGAAAGAAAGCUCAUGUUUUCCAGGUUGGUGUGUGGCCAGGCCAUACACGCACACACUCACACACGCACACACUCACACACACACACACACACACACACACACACACACACACACACACACAUACACUCACACACACACACACACACACACACACUCACACACACAGAACUGGCCGAAGGUAGCAGUGCCUAAAGCUUACGGUGUCCCUGAGGGAUGUGCAGACAGAUCAUACAUGGGCACUUGAACUCAGAAACAAAAGUAAAAUCUGCCAUCACAAUAGCCCUAAAAUAAAUAUGCCCCAUCGACUUACUGCAGAGUUCUUGGAAGGCACCUUCUGUAGAAUCUGAUGCUCAGAGUAUUCCACAGGUUAAUACUGUAUCAGCCAGAGCUUGGGUGGAAUCCUAUAGUGCAAUAUCUAUUCUGGCAGUGGACACUAACAUCACUGGUGAUAGUCUGUAUCAGAAAGAGACAGAUACACACUUGAAAAGUCCUCCUGCUGCUCUCCAGCAUUUUCUCCAUAUCUUCUGGGCAGAUAGGAUGGGUGAACACCAUACAACACUGAAAACAGGAAAAUGAAAGUAACUGAUAUAGAAGAUACUAAUUGGCAAAAACGAAUCAUUGUGGUACAUGAAUUUAAUGUUGAGCAUGUUUGAAUGAAUCAUCUUCAUGAUGGUGAAGGCCACGUAAGAACAGGAUUUGGAUUUCUGCAAGUUAAUGCAGAGAGAAGUAAAAAGGAAAGUCACUAUAAGAAAAGGAAAUGAAUUAAUGUUAUUUUGCAUAGUGUCUGCACUAAGUGAAAAGCUAAACCAGGAAGGAAGUUGCCAUCACUAUGCUAGAUGGGAGUGCUUCAGUGACAUGUGCUUGCUUUUGAGAAAACCAGUAGUCUUCAGAUUAGGACUAGGGAUAAUUACCGUGUUUAUUUUGUGUUUGCCUGAAUUUUUCAAAAUCCAUGAAGCUAACACUGUAAUGGUGUCCUGCAGGGAUACCUGUUCUUCAAGUAACACCACUUUUCCACUUUGUACUUUUGACAAUUCUUACAAAAGAUCAGUGCAACAAAGAAGAGAAACCCAGACCAUUUUGCUGAAGGUCAUUAUAAAUAAUGCAGAUUUCCAAAAUAUUCCAUGUAUUUGCCAGUCAUCCUGGAGGGAGCAACAGUCCCACCCUAAACAGAGAGCGUAUGAAACCAAGAGGGAUAUGAAUGUUGAUCAUCAAGGAUCAGGGUCAAUGGCUAAAAAAACAAAAGGCUCUCUUGAAGUGAAAACAGAAAAUGCUAUUUUUUUGGAUAAAUAUAUAAAUUUCACCAUGGUUUCCAAGAAAGAAGUGGAGCAUAAUAUGAACUACCUGGUGGAAAUCCACAUCAACAAUUCUAUAGUCGGAGGACAAAACACAACCAACGAACAACUAAAUCAUUCUUGUCUCUUGGCAAUGAUGGAAGACCAAAAUGACUGUAUAAAUAUUUCACUGCAACUGAAGUCUUAUAUGGAAUAUCCAAUGUGUAUGACAAAGAUCAUUUGGCUCACUCUGAUUCCAGUAGUUUUUGUGUUUACUAUUUCAAUCGUCAUCUACAAAAUAGUCCAAGAAAAUAAACGGAACUCAGAUUAUAAACAAAGAGUAGCAAAAUCAGUUUCUACUGUUCUAAGAAGAAAGAGUUCCAGACAUGGAAGAAGAACUGUAUCUGCUACUAAAAUUCAUCCUUUUCCUGUAGUGAAAACCAGCAAACAACAGGUUCCACUUCCUGCACAGACCACAAAGAUACUGCCUGUAAUUCCUGAACAAGAGCACUGUCAUGUGGAUCAACUCUAGAAGCGCUCCCCUGAAGAGUGUGCAUUUCAGACCACUGAUACAAGAGCCUCAAAUAAGGAAGGGUUUUAGGCAGAGCUAGAAUCAUGAGAGAGCUCCACUGGGGAUGCUGCUAACAUCUGCCCUUCCCUGCCUCAAACCUGGCUUCUGUCUGGUUGGUAAGAGUUACUUCAAUGCCUGCCCUGAAUCAGACAGGCAAGAUGAGUUAUACUUUUCCUCAUCUUCAGCCAGCUGGAGCUGCACUCAGAGAAAUCAUUAACCACAGCACGGAGUGUUUGAUUUCUCUGUCAGGAAACUACCUACACAGCAGCUGUGGUAGGUGUAACAGCAGUUGUGAGGAGGAGGAAAUGUAAAAGCAAGGAUAACUGUGAUCACGAUCAUUGUUGCUAAUGAGCUGGAGAACCUGCUGAUGGCCUCAGCAGUGGCCCUUAACACAACACACUGAAAGAUGAAAGGCUGAAAAACAUUGUUUUUAGCCAUGGGAAUGGUCUGGAGAGAUCUAUUUGCCUAUUCUUUGCUUGUUGCUCCAGUCUGCAACGGUGAAGUAUUACUCUUACUAGUAGAUCGAGAGAGACAUCAAUAAUCAAUUACACAUUACAAUUUUCCACUGUUUUUCUUUUUAUAACAAGAAAAAGACAUUUUUUUCUAUAAAUGUCUUUUUUAAGCCUUUCGAUUUAAGACAAUACUGUUGAUUAUAAAAUGUAAAUAUAUUGAUAAACAUAUGACUGUUCACGUGUUGCCAUGUUUAUCAAUAUACUUAGAUCCAAUUGUGUGGUCUAUCUAUCUAUCUAUCUAUCUAUCUAUCUAUCUAUCUAUUCUGUGUGUGCACACAGAAAUGCACCCAAAUGCUUCGUUAUUCACUAUUGCACUGACAGCUAGUUCAGCUAAUAAAAAAUGUGCCAACUUCUGCACACGCCUUUGCCAAAGGUGAAUCUUUUCAGCAUAGAUUACUCAAUGUCUCUGUAUUUUCUUGGUAACUAUUACAACUACACUCGAGUACCAUAGGUAAGAAUCCUCUGUUUCUGCCAUCUUUCAUUAAACUACCAUAUUAGCAACUGUCCUGGAAAACAAUGAAUGAGCCAUGUCCCUCAGGUGUUGAGGAAUGGUAUUUUCCAAUUUAGUAGUCCUGCUAAAACCACGCUGCAGCUUGCUUCCCCUCCCCUCCAAUUGGAAGCACAAAAGGCAAAGAUCAUGGCUUGAGAUAUGAACAAUUUAGUGGAAACAGCAAUGAGAUAAGAAAACAAUAACAAAAGAUAUAGGCAAGGAAACAAUUUACACGGAAAGCCUGGGACAAUACUGACUGGCUCUUCUCUACCAUUUUUCUCCCCACUGGAAGGAACACCCUUCUCCUUGGAAGCAAGAAUCCUGUAUCCCUGCUCCUGGCAAUGACCUGAGGCAGUAUAGAAAAAUCUCCUAGCCAUGCCCACACAGCUCCAGGCUCACAGCUACUGCAAAAUAUUCACUCUGUCCUGGCCAGACCCCAGGACAACAUAUGACAACUGGAUGUAUUUCCUUAGUGCUGUGAGAAGAUUGUGAUAUUAAUUACCCUAAUUUUGUUUAGAUUGGAAGCAUGAACAUUUUAUUCAAGGCAUAUAUUUGCAUUCCGAGGCAAUGCUGUUCAGCAAGGCACCCACACAAACAACAGAAGAUAGAAUUAUGCAGAGAAAACAGUAAAACUCAUAAGACAUUCUAGCAAAGGCAUGAGUGAGCUCAGGAGUGAGAGGAAGAUUACAGUUAAGCUGCUUUCAUGCAGUUUCAGGUAUCACCCUAUGAAAUACCAGCACUUCUGGAUGAAAGAAGAUACAUCAUACACCAUAGAAGAAAGCAUCCCCAUUUCCAGCUUGGGGGGCUAUGUUAUCCAUCUUUUAAUGGGAAAUGACAAUUAUGCAUUUUAGUUGACAAGUUCCAUUUUUUCCAUCAUAAUUACUUUGUAUUAAGAAAAUAUCAAUUAUGAACAUGCAUGUUUUGCUGCAUAAACAACUGUGAUAGCAGACUAGAUUUCACAUCUAUUUUCUGUUCAUUCAGGAUUCAUACUUAGUUAUAUGGUUGUGAGGUAAUCCUUGUGAUAAUUACAUAUUUUUAUCAGGGCAGAAAUUUAUUUUAUAUAUUCCAUAGGAUAAGAAGUCUAUAUAAAGGUAGGAAUUAUCCUCUACUUUCAUGAAAUGAGCACAAUUUUCAAACUACUUAAUGCAAUAGAUGACUAAGAUGCCUAAAAGAUUCAGUUUCUGGCUGUUGAGAAGGGUGGCCAAAGUAUUACAGAAGGAAUGAAUUCUGUAGCAUGUUAGUUUCUGCAGUAAACCAGGAAGACCAUAAUAAUUUGUGCAAUAUCUUAGUGAAUAAAGAAAAAAAUGUGGAAAAAUACUGAUUUGGCUUCAAAUCACAGAAUUGUUAUUAUAGAUUUUUAAUAACUCAUUAAGACAUUAAAUGGGUUUGUACUUUUUGAGAAA
Passer domesticus (house sparrow) is the source of this 4823-nucleotide RNA transcript. It is a transcript of the gene named transmembrane protein 156, with no coding region annotated. Lineage: Eukaryota; Metazoa; Chordata; Aves; Passeriformes; Passeridae. The record is from RefSeq and is a predicted model, not a curated record. The transcript has 10 exons.